CUUUGAUGGUCCAAAUCUGCAUCCCCCAUCUUGCAAAGCAUCAUGAAAUAAGCAGGACUUCUUAUCAGCACCAGGACACAUCUGCAUACAACUUGCAUGAUCUGGCCCUUGCAGGAUUGUUCUCUCUGUUGUUAUACGAGGAUGUAAUGUCCAAUUUACUGAAGUCCAAUUUACUAAUCCUGAGCUAUUGGUUGUUACUGAGAAUAAGUGUUACUUUUGCACUCUUUUUACUCUCUCAGUUUCUUUCAUUCCAACCUGGUAAGGACUUAGUGAGUAUUAGGAACAGUGAAGAGUAGUUUUCCUAGGGGAUAAUUGAAAUCAACACCCCUGUGGAUUCCCUUGUCAUAUGCUGUUGGGCUUGAGACGCAGUUGCUCUAUGUGCAAGAGCAGUAAAAAAGAUGACCUCUUCUACACAGUUAUCUAUUUUUGUGUAAUUUGUAGCUGUCAAAUGCUACUGAAACUGUUUAACUGGCUCAGAAGUUACAGGCACACACACGUAGCACAACGGCACAAGCCUUAUUUCCUUAGGAAACCAUGGCUUUUCCCAUGUCACAAACAUGGGCUCUUCCUUCAGCUUGGUAUGCGUUUCGGAAAGGCUUCGCAGUCCCGCAGUGUCAUCCUUUGAAGUUUCUCCAGCAGAUCUUCGAAGGCAUUUCAGCAGCUCUCACUGCGGUACCGGUCAACGAGUGACCUCUCUGCCACCUCCCUGGUCCCUUCAUUUUGCGUCCCACGAUUCCCCCGGUGCAUCUGGAUGUUACCGGGGACACUCUGCAGACGGGAAUAGGCAGCUCUCCCUCCCACCGAUGCCUGCUGCGAGCUCGGCGGGCUCAGGGCUGCUCUCAGGUCCCAGGCUAAGAUGCGCCCGGGCCGCCCUUACCGGGCUGCCACUCCCGCACCCCGAGCGGCCGAGGCACGGUGCGGGGGGGGACGAAUCACCCCGGGCUGCCCUUGGCGGCUCCUGCCCAGGGCACCCGGGAAGUUUUCUGGCGAAGGGGAAGGCAGACAAGAGGCACGGGCGGCGAGGCGGGGGCGGCAGAGCGCGGGCAGAGGCGCGCCCAGCCGGAGGGGCCGGGGGGCCGGGGCCGGGCCGGGCCGGGCCGGGCGGGGGCGGAGGAGGGGGCACGGCCGGGAGGUGGAGCCGGCUGCGCUGGCGGCUCCGGCGCUCCGCGGCUGCCGGGCACGGGGCGCGCACGGCAGUGGGAGCCCAGCGCCGCCGGGAGCCGCCGCCGCCGCUCGGUCCGCCCGCCCGGUCCGUGCCCGGGAGCCGCCGCCGCGGGAGCCGCCGCGGGAGCCGCCAGGUAACGGGCGCGGUUCCGCUCUCGGUGCCCGGCUGGGCGCGCAGCCUUGCUCCGGCUCGGCACCCACCGCCCUGCCGCUGCCCUGGGACGCUCGGGGAUGCGGACGGGGGGCACCGCGGGGGCGGCUCGCCUACCCCGCCGCUGCGCUGUUCCCUCGGGCGAGGGGAGGAUGUGCGGGAGAGCCGUGACUCCCCGUGGUGCUGGGCGUGCAAGUUAGUGGGGCUGAGAAGCCAGCCCGCCCGCCAGUACCGCCGGCACGGGAGCUGGGGGAGGGAGCUCUGGCUGCCCGAGCCAGCUGAACUCGCCCCGCUGGUAACACCUCUCCGGGGUCGGGCCCCGGGAGCGUCUCCGGGAGCCUCAGAGCCUGCCCUCGGUAUUUCUGUAUUCUGUUGCCUCCGCGCCGACACCCCUCCCUCCGGGAUCCCUCUUACCGUAAAGGCAAGCGGAGGAGCCGGGGCGCCCGGAGGCUGUGCCCGGAGCGCCCUGCACUGCGCCUGUCGCGUGUUGGGGCGUGCCACCACCCCUGAAGUUCGGAUGAGGAAGGUUGACCAGCCUUGAUCACAGCGCUAGAGACCCGAAGCAAGGAUCCUGGCCGAUGCAUGUUCAGUGCAGCCUGACUUUUUGAGGAGAACAAGUAUUUCCCUGAAAGUCUGUCCCUUCAGAGCAGCACACAG
Molecule: long non-coding RNA, 1972 nt
Filed under: Corvus moneduloides (New Caledonian crow)
Lineage: Eukaryota; Metazoa; Chordata; Aves; Passeriformes; Corvidae
Description: lncRNA (ENSCMUG00000019772.1)
Source: RNAcentral